AUUGAACGCUGGCGGCAUGCCUUACACAUGCAAGUCGAACGGCAGCACGGGGGCAACCCUGGUGGCGAGUGGCGAACGGGUGAGUAACAUAUCGGAACAUACCCUAGAGUGGGGGAUAACGUAGCGAAAGUUACGCUAAUACCGCAUACGAUCUAAGGAUGAAAGUGGGGGAUCUUCGGACCUCAUGCUCAUGGAGUGGCCGAUAUCUGAUUAGCUAGUUGGUGAGGUAAAGGCUCACCAAGGCGACGAUCAGUAGCUGGUUUGAGAGAACGACCAGCCACACUGGAACUGAGACACGGUCCAGACUCCUACGGGAGGCAGCAGUGGGGAAUUUUGGACAAUGGGGGCAACCCUGAUCCAGCAAUGCCGCGUGAGUGAAGAAGGCCU
This 387-nucleotide ribosomal RNA is filed under the name uncultured bacterium. RNAcentral describes it as "bacterial SSU rRNA". It matches the Rfam family "Bacterial small subunit ribosomal RNA", at positions 30 to 417 of the family's 1533-position model. The record is from RNAcentral.